UACGUAGGGCGCAAGCGUUAUCCGGAAUUAUUGGGCGUAAAGAGCUCGUAGGCGGUUUGUCGCGUCUGCUGUGAAAGACCGGGGCUCAACUCCGGUUCUGCAGUGGGUACGGGCAGACUAGAGUGAUGUAGGGGAGACUGGAAUUCCUGGUGUAGCGGUGAAAUGCGCAGAUAUCAGGAGGAACACCGGUGGCGAAGGCGGGUCUCUGGGCCGAUACUGACGCUGAGGAGCGAAAGCGUGGGGAGCGAACAGG
This 253-nucleotide ribosomal RNA is filed under the name uncultured bacterium. RNAcentral's name for it is "partial 16S ribosomal RNA". It matches the Rfam family "Bacterial small subunit ribosomal RNA", at positions 524 to 776 of the family's 1533-position model. The record is from RNAcentral.